GUGGGGAAUUUUGGACAAUGGGCGCAAGCCUGAUCCAGCAAUGCCGCGUGGGUGAAGAAGGCCUUCGGGUUGUAAAGCCCUUUUGUACGGAAAGAAAUCCUGGUGGUUAAUACCCGCCGGGGAUGACGGUACCGUAAGAAUAAGCACCGGCUAACUUCGUGCCAGCAGCCGCGGUAAUACGAAGGGUGCAAGCGUUAAUCGGAAUUACUGGGCGUAAAGCGUGCGUAGGUGGUUUCUUAAGUCUGUCGUGAAAGCCCUGGGCUCAACCUGGGAAUGGCGAUGGAUACUGGGAGGCUAGAGUGCGGUAGAUGAGGGCGGAAUUCCCGGUGUAGCGGUGAAAUGCGUAGAGAUCGGGAGGAACAUCUGUGGCGAAGGCGGCCAUCUGUACCAGCACUGACAUUGAGGCACGAAAGCGUGGGGAGCAAACAGGAUUAGAAACCCCGGUAGUCC
RNAcentral lists this ribosomal RNA (450 nucleotides) under uncultured bacterium. Its description in RNAcentral is "partial 16S ribosomal RNA". It matches the Rfam family "Bacterial small subunit ribosomal RNA", at positions 354 to 796 of the family's 1533-position model. The record is from RNAcentral.